ACCCCACGGGCCUCAUCUAAUCAUACCCAGGCUGCCUCGCUGCCUCUCCCCAGUUCCUCCCAUGCCUGGAGCCCAGUAGGGGUGCAGACCCGGGCACCCGGCCCACCCACUGCUCACCUGCCUUCUCCCACGCUCUCAUCAGAAAGGCUUCUCACUGGUGGCCCUGGUGAUAGUGGGGCUGGCCUGGGGUCUCAGACACUCACAGCAUGGAAUGGUACCUCCAGCUCCUGGCCUGCCUGGUGGGCAUCCUCCCUAUGGGAUCAUUUGUGAGAACUAAGAGAGAUACUACCGGGAACUUGCUCAACACAGAGGUGCACAGUGUGCCGGCGCAG
Suricata suricatta (meerkat) is the source of this 332-nucleotide long non-coding RNA. RefSeq lists it as uncharacterized. The record is from RefSeq and is a predicted model, not a curated record. Lineage: Eukaryota; Metazoa; Chordata; Mammalia; Carnivora; Herpestidae. The transcript is spliced from 3 exons.